CUCCUCCUCCUCCUCCUCCUCCUCCCCUCCGCCGCACGACGGGAAGAUCGCACGCGUGCUUGUCCUCGUGCCAGUCCACGGCUCCGCGCGCGCCGUCUUUCUCAUGGUCUUUCUCGAUGGGUAGGAUGCGUUCUUUAUUCAUGUUGAUCUGCCGUAGAUGGGGGGAUCUUGAGCCGGAGGAGUAGCUAGUUUCUUUGAUUAUGCGUUUUGGGGUCUAGCGGAUUUUAACAUGAGAUGGUUUCUCUUUAGCGACAUUUUUUUUUGUUCAUGUUGAUGUCCACGGUGAUUGUUCUAGUUAUGUCAUUUUUAUCUUCAAGACUUAAAUGCUUUGAAUCGCCGGUAUAGACCAGAUUAUUGUCGUGAAGAUCGACGUAUUUUCCGAGCUGACCCUCUGCAUGCUGAAAAUUUUGUAGUGGGUUAUAUCUAGAUUAUAUGUGUAUUGUUGUCAUUCAAUUAGCACUUAAACUUCUGUAGCAUAAACAUUUUCAUCAUCUUCCUGUGAGGACAUCGGAUGAGUUCCUUUUUUUUUCUCUUCUUGUUCUAAAAUUGUUCGGUAAUCUUGUCUGGCUUUGACUGAUGGGCUCCAAUGAUGGCAUGAAAUCUUUGAGACCUGACAUUCUUGUGAUGACAAACAUAAGCAUAUUUCCUGAGGACCCAAUUGAGGUUUUAACCAUUGGUUUGCUGAAUGUGUCUUCAGUGUUGAAAAAUUUGGACACAUUUGCUUCAAAUUAUGCACAUUCGACUGUUGUUUAUAGGCCUGCGAUGUCCAUUCCACAUUCAGUAUUUGUUAAGCUGACUGCUUUUGUUUCAAAUUUGUUUUGUAUAGGUGAACGUUCCCAAGACCAAGAAGACCUACUGCAAGAACAAGGAGUGCAGGAAGCACACCCUUCACAAGGUCACUCAGUACAAGAAGGGUAAGGACAGCCUGUCUGCCCAGGGAAAGCGCCGUUAUGACCGUAAGCAGUCAGGAUAUGGUGGUCAGACCAAGCCUGUUUUCCACAAGAAGGUACUGUGACAGUUUAUAUAUGAUUAUGCAGUGUUGUGUGUGACUCUCUGUUCAUUAGAAACAUAUGGUGUCAUGAUUGAUGUAUCAGUGCUAUGUGUCUGUACAAUGCAUGUGGCAAUAACCAUCACGUAGUUUUAAUUGCAUGUGGCUUUCAGCUGUGCAUUUUUCUUGUUAUGAUACAUGGUUCCUGUUUUCAGGCAAAAACCACCAAGAAGAUCGUGCUGAAGCUGCAAUGCCAAAGCUGCAAGCAUUACUCCCAGCACCCCAUCAAGGUAUUAUUUCAUUGUCAAGACUCCAGAGCUGAAAAUGAAUCAUUAUUUUGCUGGAUGUGUUGGAUGCUCACUUGCAUAAUUGUUCUCUGCAGAGGUGCAAGCAUUUCGAGAUUGGUGGAGACAAGAAGGGCAAGGGAACAUCUCUUUUCUAAAUUGCUUGCUACCUACUGGAUACUAAAGUUGUUGGUCUACUGUGCUUCAAUAUUUCAAUGUUAUUAGGAGCUUAUUUAAGCAUACCAUAUCAAUGUAUUCAAGUAUCAUCGUCUGACAUUUACUCUAGCAAGGAUUGGCUUUCUGCUGAAUCAAGUUUUGUUGCUUAAUGCUCAUUGAAUCCAAUGUGAUGCAUGUGUUUAUAUUUUGCAGCAAUUUUAUCUUACGACAGUUCUAUUUCCCUUAGUCCUCAGUAUCCCUUUUUUUUUGUUAUCUUACCAGCUGUCUGUUGAUUAGUAGUUAGCAAACAUAGAGCGACCCACUUUAAUGACUUCCCGUGACAUGAAUAUGACCUCGAGAGAUUAGUCUAGUGAACUUAUUCAGACUGAAUGUUGUAUUGUUAACUGUACUGGCGUUUGGUCAGUAUCUUUCGAAAGAGAUUGAAUGUAGGGACGUAAUUUUAUUGCAAGAUAAUUCAUUUGUUCUUGUGGUUCAGUAUCUUGGAAGGUCUUGUGAUGUUAGUGAAUUCUUUUCGUAGCAUUGCAGUACUUGCUCCGUCCUUAAUGCAUGAUUCAAUAGGCUACGCAAUCUCGUUUGUAGCAAUGAAUUUUAAAAAUUUGGAAUCGCUAACUAUCGUUUGACAGAUUUAUGAGCCUUCCAUCAUUCGUUUUUUUAAGCUGUCAGAUGGUUAAAAAUUAUAAUUUAUUAUGAACCGAAUAAAUAGCUUCGAACAAGCUAAGCUAUGCUGAUGUAGAAAAAAAAUAGUUCGAGAACCGUGGUAUAUCCCCCCCCCCAAAACCUCCCCAACCCACCCAUAAAAAACCGGAUGGCAGCAAUCACAACUUAGCAUUGCUUCUCAUAGCAAUGUUCGUAUACUAUAAGUGCAGGUUAGUUCAGACUUCAGACACCUAUGGUAAUUGUUUUUUAUUUUGUUCGUUAGGUGGUGUUUGGGUCCAUGGAUUAAACUUUAGCCUUUAUGUUUAGACACUAAUUUAGACUAAAUAUAGAUUACUUACAAAAAUAAUUAAAUAAAUGAGAGCUAAUUCGCGAGACAAAUUUUUUAAGCCUAAUUAAUUCAUAAUUAGAGAAUGUUUACUGUAGCAUCACAUAGGCUAAUCAUGGAUUAAUUAGGCUUAAUAGAUUCGUCUCGCGAAUUAGUCCAAGAUUAUGGAUAUGUUUUGUUAAUAGUCUAUAUUUAAUACUUCUAAUUAGUGUACAAACAUCCAAUUUGGAAAGUGCUAAAAAAUUUUAGUCCCUUCCAAACACCCCCUUAUUAUUUUUAUCAAAUAGCCACGUAAGCGUCAUCUCAAUAGCACGUGGGACAAAGACCCCUAGUCAAAGGCGUCAUGUCAGCCAAAACCAGAGACAUUGCUACCGAGGGAGCUCGUUUGCAUAGUUGAAGAAGGCGCCAUGUCAGCCAAAACCGGAGACAUUUUUAUCGAGGGACCUCGUUUGCAUAGUUGGGUUGUACUCCCUCCAUAUUUUAAUGUAUGACGCCGUUGACUUUUUAAUCAACGCUUGACCAUUCGUCUUAUUCAAAAAAUUAUGUAAUUAUCAUUUAUUUUAUUAUGGCUUGAUUUAUCAUCAAAUAUUCUUUAAGUAUGACAUAAAUAUUUUUAUAUUUGCACAAAAAAUUUGAAUAAGACGAAUAGUCAAACAUUAUUCGAAAAGUCAACGGUGUCAUACAUUAAAAUACGGAGCGAGUAUAUGGUUUUCGGAUAAGGAUGAAAAACAGACUUAGCGACUAUAAGGGAAUAAGUUAACUAAUCAUAAACCGUGCGAAAAAGAUCCAAAAACAUACGGAGCGACAAAGUAAGGGACCUAUUGUGAACUUAUUUGAGGGAUAAAGUCACUUCCUUAACUACAAGGGAAUAAGUUCACCUGACGUCCCUCAACUUUAUGUUGAGUUUGUCUGCGGUCCCCAAUCCGCGAUAGCAAAAAUCUCUACCCCUCAACUAUCACAAACCGUGCAAAAAAGAUCCCAAGACAAUAUUGAUCCAUUUUCCCCGGUUUUGCUGAUGUGGCAUACGGUGGGACCCACAUGUCAGCGUCCUGUCUUCUCCUCUUUUCUUUUUUCUUUUUUUUUCUUCUUCUCUCUUCUCCUCUUCCCUUCUUCCCCUAGCCUGAGAGGCCAGCGGGUGGGCGAGCAGGCGACGGUAGGAGGCAGCAGCGGUGUGCGGAGCAGGCAAGGGGUAGCAGGCGACGGGCGAGCGACGACGCCUCAGAGAGGGUGUGGUGUGGGCGUCGCUGUGCUGUGUCGGGCAGAGCGAGGUGGCGUCGGUGGGGUGUAGAGGACGACGGCAGAUGGAACCGACGGCGGAUGCUGUAGGGGACGAUGACGCGGAGGACGGAGUAGGCCGGGAGAGGAUGACGCUGAUGCGCUUGGGGUUUCACCGGGAGACCCCGCCUUCACCGUCUUCGUGCCCUCACCGGAGUCGUUCCACAACGUCCUCGGGCUGCGGCAUCCCAACGACAGCGUUGCCGAUGGGUGGGUCUCACAUUUUCUUUCUAUUUCACUUACAUGUGAGACUCACGUAUUAUUUUAUUUCUAUUUUGUUGACUAAGAUGUCACGCCAGCGAAACCAAGACAUCUAUACUGCCAUGGGAUAUAAAUUGAACGGUUUUGUAUAUUUAGGGGUGAAGAUUUGUGGUAUUGAGGAUAAGGGAUGACAAACAAACUCGGUGUAAAGUUGAGGGACAUCAGGUGAACUUAUUCCAACUAUAAGGCAACGCAUCACGGCCCAUGGCCCAUGGGAUGCGCAUUCUGGCCCACAAAGCAGCACACGCUCUCUCCCCCACCAGUAAGCCCUAGCCUCCAGGAGCUCAGCCGUAUAAAGCCGCAGACCUUCUCCUUCCCCUCCCCGCCGCCACUCGCCGCAGCGUCUCGACCAGACAAGGGAGCGCCUCCGAAACCCUAGCUCCCCCUUUCCCCUCCGCGGCCACCAAAAUGGUACGCUUCUCCCUCCUCCCCGUCCGCCUCUCUCCGUCGCACGACGGCAAGAUCAUGCGCGUGUGUGUCCUCGUGCCAGUCCACGGCACCCUGCUCUGGUCGAUUUGUAGGGGGAUUGCAUUCUUUAUUCAUGUUGAUCUGCUGUAGAUGGGGGCGAUCUUGAGCCGGAGGAGUAGCUAGCUUCUUGUUGAUGCGGUUUCGGGAUUUAGAGAUUUAACACGGAGAUUGAUAGUUUCUCUUUAGCGAUUUCUUUUUUUCUUGUUGAUAUAAUGAUAUCCACGGUGAUUGUACUAGUUAUGGUUUUUUUAUCUUCAAUGCUUUGUAUUAUUGUUUUUGAUUUGUGGGUAGAGACCAGAUUAUUGUUGUUAAGAUGGACGGAUUCUCUGAGCUGGUCCUUUGCAUGCUCUGAAGCGCAGAAAAUUUGUGUAAUGGGUUAUAUCUGGAUUAUGUGUAGCUAUUAACUUCUGUAGUAAACAUUUUCAUCUUCCUUUGAGGACAUGGGAUGAAUUCCUUUUUUUCUUCUCUUGUUGUGCUAAAAUUGUUCGGUAAUCUUGUCUGUGGCUUUGACUGAUGGGCUCCGAUGAUGGCAUGAAAUCUUUGAGACCUGACAUUCUUGUGAUGACAAACAUAAGCAUAUUUCCUGAGGACCCAAUUGAGUUUUUAACCAUUGGUCUGCUGAAUGUGUCUUUGCUGUUGAAAAAUAUGUAUACACAUUUGCUUCUGAUUAUGCGCAUUUGAUUGUGUUGUUUAUAGGCCUGCUAUGUGCUUUCCAACAACCAGUAUUUGUUAAAUUUGUUUCAUAUUUGUUAUGUAUAUAGGUGAACGUUCCCAAGACCAAGAAGACCUACUGCAAGAACAAGGAGUGCAGGAAGCACACCCUUCACAAGGUCACUCAGUACAAGAAGGGUAAGGACAGCCUGUCUGCCCAGGGAAAGCGCCGUUAUGACCGUAAGCAGUCAGGAUAUGGUGGUCAGACCAAGCCUGUUUUCCACAAG
This 5373-nucleotide long non-coding RNA is filed under the name Oryza sativa (Asian cultivated rice). RNAcentral's name for it is "long non-coding RNA (OSAT_LNC001359)". The stretch from base 4955 to 5026 matches the Rfam family "Small nucleolar RNA R66". The record is from RNAcentral. Lineage: Eukaryota; Viridiplantae; Streptophyta; Magnoliopsida; Poales; Poaceae.